Molecule: ribosomal RNA, 650 nt
Filed under: uncultured bacterium
Lineage: Bacteria
Description: bacterial SSU rRNA
Rfam family: Bacterial small subunit ribosomal RNA
Source: RNAcentral
AUGCAAGUCGAGGGGUAACGGGGAAGCUUGCUUCCGCCGACGACCGGCGCACGGGUGCGUAACGCGUAUACAAUCUACCUUGUACUGGGGUAUAGCCUUUAGAAAUGAAGAUUAACCCCCCAUAGUCUCUUAGAGUGGCAUCACUUCUAGAGUAAAGGUUACGGUAUAAGAUGAGUAUGCGUUCUAUUAGUUUGUUGGUGUGGUAACGGCACACCAAGACUACGAUAGAUAGGGGCCCUGAGAGGGGGAUCCCCCACACUGGUACUGAGACACGGACCAGACUCCUACGGGAGGCAGCAGUGAGGAAUAUUGGACAAUGGAGGCAACUCUGAUCCAGCCAUGCCGCGUGCAGGAAGACUGCCCUAUGGGUUGUAAACUGCUUUUAUACAGGAAGAAACACCUCUACGUGUAGAGGCUUGACGGUACUGUAAGAAUAAGGAUCGGCUAACUCCGUGCCAGCAGCCGCGGUAAUACGGAGGAUCCAAGCGUUAUCCGGAAUCAUUGGGUUUAAAGGGUCCGUAGGUGGAUAAAUAAGUCAGAGGUGAAAGCUUUCCGCUUAACGGGAAAAUUGCCUUUGAAACUGUUUAUCUUGAAUUAUGUUGAGGUUAGCGGAAUGUGACAUGUAGCGGUGAAAUGCAUAGAUAUGUCAU